AUUGAACGCUGGCGGCAGGCCUAACACAUGCAAGUCGAGCGGAUGAAGGGGGCUUGCUCCUGGAUUCAGCGGCGGACGGGUGAGUAAUGCCUAGGAAUCUGCCUGGUAGUGGGGGAUAACGUCCGGAAACGGGCGCUAAUACCGCAUACGUCCUGAGGGAGAAAGUGGGGGAUCUUCGGACCUCACGCUAUCAGAUGAGCCUAGGUCGGAUUAGCUAGUUGGUGGGGUAAAGGCCUACCAAGGCGACGAUCCGUAACUGGUCUGAGAGGAGGAUCAGUCACACUGGAACUGGGACACGGUCCAGACUCCUACGGGAGGCAGCAGUGGGGAAUAUUGGACAAUGGGCGAAAGCCUGAUCCAGCCAUGCCGCGUGGUUGAAGAAGGUCUUCGGAUUGUAAAGCACUUUAAGUUGGGAGGAAGGGCAGUAAGUUAAUACCUUGCUGUUUUGACGUUACCAACAGAAUAAGCACCGGCUAACUUCGUG
RNAcentral lists this ribosomal RNA (484 nucleotides) under uncultured bacterium. Its description in RNAcentral is "partial 16S ribosomal RNA". It matches the Rfam family "Bacterial small subunit ribosomal RNA", at positions 30 to 507 of the family's 1533-position model. The record is from RNAcentral.